Molecule: transfer RNA, 72 nt
Filed under: Meridiastra atyphoida
Lineage: Eukaryota; Metazoa; Echinodermata; Asteroidea; Valvatida; Asterinidae
Description: tRNA-Pro
Source: RNAcentral
UCAGAAAAGUAAGACUUUAUACUUACACCAACAACUCCCAAAGCUAUUAUUCUAUCUAUAAACUAUUUUCUG